UUUGAGAGGAAAGGGAAACAGGUUAAUAUUCCUGUGCCAUCUAAAUACGCGUGGCAACACUAGGUUAGUUUCCGACGCUUCUGGGUAGGCUGAGUGUUCUUGUCUGGGCAUUCAAGCUUAUAAGUCCGGGGAGAGUUGUAAUAACGAGAACCGGAUGAAAGAGUGAUGAGCUNUCCGUUAGGAGGGUUCGGCCGAUCUCUGGAGCCCGUGAAAAGGGAACUAACNAGGAUUUU
This 233-nucleotide ribosomal RNA is filed under the name Methanococcus maripaludis. RNAcentral describes it as "partial 23S ribosomal RNA". It matches the Rfam family "Archaeal large subunit ribosomal RNA", at positions 1498 to 1729 of the family's 2987-position model. The record is from RNAcentral. Lineage: Archaea; Methanobacteriati; Methanobacteriota; Methanococci; Methanococcales; Methanococcaceae.